GACGAACGCUGGCGGCGUGCUUAACACAUGCAAGUCGAACGGAAAGGCCCCCUUGUGGGGUACUCGAGUGGCGAACGGGUGAGUAACACGUGAGUAACCUACCCUUGACUUUGGGAUAACUUCAGGAAACUGGGGCUAAUACCGGAUAGGAGCUCCUGCUGCAUGGUGGGGGUUGGAAAGUUUCGGCGGUUGGGGAUGGACUCGCGGCUUAUCAGCUUGUUGGUGGGGUAGUGGCUCACCAAGGCUUUGACGGGUAGCCGGCCUGAGAGGGUGACCGGCCACAUUGGGACUGAGAUACGGCCCAGACUCCUACGGGAGGCAGCAGUGGGGAAUAUUGCACAAUGGGCGGAAGCCCGAUGCAGCAACGCCGCGUGCGGGAUGACGGCCUUCGGGUUGUAAACCGCUUUCGCCUGUGACGAAGCGUGAGUGACGGUAAUGGGUAAAGAAGCACCGGCUAACUACGUG
This 465-nucleotide ribosomal RNA is filed under the name uncultured bacterium. RNAcentral describes it as "partial 16S ribosomal RNA". It matches the Rfam family "Bacterial small subunit ribosomal RNA", at positions 28 to 507 of the family's 1533-position model. The record is from RNAcentral.